This is a long non-coding RNA of Gallus gallus (chicken), 10644 nucleotides long. NCBI's taxonomy places the organism in Eukaryota, Metazoa, Chordata, Aves, Galliformes, Phasianidae. The record is from Ensembl.
GGACAUUAAAAGAUUAGGGGGAUGUGGGCACGUGCUGGCUUCUGGAGAAGGAGACAAUGCUUGAUUUAGGAUGGAACUUGUCUGCGACGGCCGACAAAGGAGGGAGGCUGGAGCGAGGCAGGGGUCAGCGGAGCUCUUGCUCAGGGGGAGACAAAGGCAAGGGAGGAAGGAGAGGAGGAGCAGAAGUGAGAAGCGGCUGCAGCGUGCUCUGAAAAGGCCGCCGCGGUCUUGCAACAGCUGCUCCCGCACAAGAAAUUUGAGACGGUCUUUUCACAAACACAACGGCUGUCAGAAGAAUAGGGAGGCCACACUUCGCCAGAAUGAGUCGUUUGCAAUUGAAAAGGGGAACUGAGAGCUCCCAGUGCUUUCAAAGGUCUGUAUCUACAGCACUACGAAAUGAUUAGUCAAAGUACAUCGUGGAACAGGAGGAAAGUGUGCCGCAGACCAUAGGGGGAAGUAAAUCCUUGCGGUGCUGUUAAAAGUUGAUGCAGCAGCCAUUCUCUGCAGUAUGUGGCACAGAAGAAAGCAUCCACCCAGCUCUCCUGCUGAGACUCCAGUCAACUCUUUUCUGGCCAGUUGAAUUCUCAGCUUCUUUAAAGCAGCCCCUGCUGUCUGCCUGACAAAAUACCGUAGGCAUCUCAGGAUUUCUUGUAACACACCAGACAGAGAAGCUGAUCCUUCCAUGGAGCAGGCCAGCAUGGUUUCUCUGCCCUGGAAGCUACUGGAAUGUUCCACCAAGAAGAGGUUAAGCUAUGCUGGGUCUUGCGUACCAUGAGGUGCAAGGCAUACUGCCUGUGUAGCAGCUCUCCCUGUAGCAUCUCUUCUGAGGAAAAAGGACUGAAAUUUCCACAUCUGUAAACUUUACCAUUGUGUAAGUGUUGGUUUCCCACAAAAAUGGGAAUACAUGAACUGUGUGAUGAACUCUGGUGUGAUUGCAGCGACCAUGGUUGCCAUGAUCAUGAGGUGGUGGAGUUCAGGAUCUCAUGUGGCCAGAACAGAAUACCGAGCAGAAUCACAACCCUGGACUUCAGGAAGGCCAACUGUGGCCUUUUCAAGCAACUGCUAGGGGAAAUCCCAUGGGACAGGGUACUUGAAAGGGCCCAAGAUAGUUGGUUAGCAUUCAAGGACUGCUUCUUCCAAGCUCGAAAUCAGAGCAUUCAAACAGGCAGGAAGUUGAGAAAGGGAGCCAGGAGAUCUGUGUGAUUAAACAGGGAACUGCUGGGCAAGGAAGUGGAAAAGGAGAGUUUACAGAUCAUGGAAGGAGGGGCUGGUCACUUGGGAGGAAUAUAAGACUGUUGUCAGAGGAUGUGGGGAGGCAAAUAGGAAAGCUAAGGCCUCCUUAGAAUUAAACCUUUGUAGAGGGGUCAAGGACAACAAAAAGGGAUUUUUCAAAUACACUGCAGAUAAAACUAAUACUGGAGGCAAUGUAGGUCCACUGAUGAAUGAGGUGGGUGCCCUGGUGACAGAAGACACAGAGAAGGCAGAGUUACUGCUGGAGGCUGUCCUGAUGAUCUCUGUACCCCUGAGUCCCCAGAGGAAAUCAGAAUAAAGGAAGAGUUUGUCUCAGUUGAUGAGGACUGGGUUAUGGGCCAGUUAAGCAAUCUGGACAUCCAUGAAUCCAUGGGCCCUGAUGGGAUUCAUCCGCGGAUGCUGAGAGAGCUGGUAGAAGUCAUUGCUAGGCUGUUCUCCAUCACUGGUAAGUUGUGGGGAAUGGGAGAGCUGCCUGAGGGCUGGAGGAAAGCAAAUGUCACCUCAGUCUUGAAAAAGGGCAAGAUGAGGACCCUAGUAACCAUAGACCAGUUAGCCUCACCUCCAUCCCUGGAAAGGUGAUGGAACAACUUAUCCUUGGCACUGUCUCUAGGCAUAGGAUAAGAAGGAUAGAAAGGAUCAGAUCAUUAGAGUUAGUCAGCAUGGCUUCAACAAGGGAAAGUCAUGCUCGACCAACCUGAUAGCCUUUUAUGAAGAAAUAAUCAGGUAGACAGAUGAUGGUAAAGCAGUGCUAUCUUGAUUUUGGUAAAGCAGUGCUAUCUUGAUUUCAGUAAAGCAUUUGAUAACAUCUCCCACAGCAUCCUCACAGCUAAACUGAGGAAGUGUGGUCUGGACAAUUGGGUAGUGAGGUGGAUUGUGAACUGGCUGAACGGAAGAAGCCAGUGAGUUUUAGUCAGUGUGGUGGAGACUAGUUGGAGGCCUGUGUCUAGUGGAGUCCUUCAGGGAUUGGUACGAGGACUGGUGCUAUUCAAUAUAUUCAUCAGUGACUUAGAUGAGGGGACAGAGUGCAUGGUCAGCAAGUUUGCUGAUGACACAAAACUGGGAGGAAUGGCUGACAGGCCAGAAGGCUGUCUUGCCAUCCAGUGAGACCUAGACAGGCUAGAGAGUUGGGUGGGGAACAAUUUAAUGAAAUACAAAAAGGGGAACUGUUGGAGAGCAGAGUAGGGGAAAGGGACCUGGGGGUCCUGGGGUAGACAUCAGGAUGACAGAUUUUUUUCUCUCACGUGUGUUAUUGCCAAGUCUCAAGACAGUCUUUGGUUUUCAAAGUUUGUGGGCUUUUUUUUUCUUGUCUGUUUGUUUUUGUGAUUGUUUAAUUUUGAUUUUGUUUACAGGAUCUAAUAUAAGGUACCCUCCAAAUGCCUCACAGUCCUGAGCACCCCCUGAUGUGUGGCAGCCCUCCUAAAGUAGACCUUCUUUUGGUGUAGCACAUGCCAAAGCACUGAUAAACAGAUCACUCGAACACUGGCUCGGAGUGUACCCACUUACUGUUGAGUAGAAAUCCCUGUGUUUAUAGCACUGAGUUCUUAAGGCCUUGCCUAUCUGAUGAAGAUAGAGCAUUAAUCUGUCUGUGUGUUUUGGGAAUUCAGACACAGUAGCAUUCAACUUCAUAUGGCAACAAAAUGGUGUGGUCAAGGGAAGAUGCAGGCAGAAGACACACUGCAAGUGUCAUACUCCAAGUAACAAGGGCAGUUUGUUUUUUCUAUAUUUUCUUAAAGCAAAUGUGAUUUUGUUUGUUUGUUGACAGCUAUGUUCUAAGUAAAAAUGUUUGAAGGCUUUUGAAAAAUAAAAUAAAUAUAUUAGACCAGUAUUCCGGAGGGCAUUUAUGUGUAGUCAGUUAAAAGCUUUUGGACGAAACUGAAAUAAGCAAUGAAUGACUUUUCAGAAUUCUCUAGUGGCAUUUUUCUUGGUAAUAUUUCCCCCUAUCUUUGUUCACCAGUGCAGCAUGGUAUACAAGGAAAUUCCCGUAUGUCACCUCAUUUGACCCUGAGAGCCUGGCUUGUGAGCAGAUACUGUGCUCAAUUUUUGGCCAUGCUGCUGCCUGGCUCCUCUGAAGAAGCACUGCUGCAGGUAGAUAUAGAAAGGUCCAACACCGUGCCCCCAUUUCUAAGUGGGAUGAUGGGCAGACAGGCAUGCGUGUAUUAUGCUGUCUAAAUGUUGGAGUGCCUGUUUACAGAACAGGGAAGCCAGGAGGCUAAGCUUUUGUUUUAGUGAUUCUCUAAAUGCACAGACAGGGAAUAGUACUCUGAGGUCUGGGGCAGCCACCCUUGAGAAGAGGGAGAGGCAAGACAUUGCAGAAGAGCACUGAGAGCACCUGUGUGUACUGUUCUUGCUUUCUGUAACUGCUCAAAAGAAAUUAAGGGGAAGUUCAUAGUAAGGUCCUGAAUUAUUAUUAUUAACACUUGCUCCAGGUGUUGUAAAAAUUAAAAACAAAACAAAACAAAACAAAAAAACGACAUGGCAAACACAGGAAAAAAGGAAAAAGCUUCAGCUGGGAGAAAAACUGAAGCCAGAAAAAGGUAAGUUUAAGAGAUAGCAGUUCCUGGCAGAAGAGAGACCCCAGGACACAUUUGGAGGACAGAUUUUCUGGGCUGGAAAAGGCUUUGAAGGAAACAUGAAGGAAAAAAUUAAAAAGGAGGGAAAAAGGAGAAAAAGGCCUUGUUUGCACUCUAAGUCCCAGAAGUGAUAACCACAUCCUCUUUCCACAGCUGCUUUUCUUUAACUGCCCUGCCACUGCCGUGUAUAUGGUCAGUGCUCGCAUUUGGAGUGUGAAUCUGUCACUUAGCAAUGAUGAGGAGGCACUUGCUCCUGACCUUUUUCUUUGAGUGUUUCAAUAAUUUAUAGCUGUGAAGUUUGUUCAGCCGGUAGGCUAAGGUCCGUGUACCACCUCGCAGCCCUGAUAUGUCCUAAGUUUGGCAGACCAAAUACAGGGCUGAUGUAUAACACUGCAAUCAACCAGGGCAACACUGUCUUCCUCUUCCAUCCACACAUAAUGACUUGGUUUUGGUGAUAAUAUAGAAAAAAAACAUAUUGAAAACUGGGUUAUAUGCUGGCCUCAGCUAGCAGAGUAAGAGCAUGUAAUAAACAUCCUCAUUAACAGAUCUGUUCAAAGGCAGUAUGCAGCAAUACUGCUUCUGUGCCUGAGCAGGGGGAUGGAGCUGGGAAAACAGCCUAGCUCAACUGCAGGUAGCCCAGAUGAUCAUGAGUCUCUAGAAGAUGGAGUCUGCCCUCAGGAAGGGCAGGCUGGCCAGGGCAGCAUGCCUGUGGCAGACCCUGAUUGCCCCUACAUCCCUCUGGCAGCAAUAAUGCAAAUGGUGGGGCUUGUAUUUUCAGGACUGCUGGGAGUUUUAUUGCAGGUGUGUGCAGAACUUGCACAAAAGUACUGCACAGGAGAGAGGCCCCAGCUCACUUGCAGCAGCAGGCUUGCUCUUUGGAAGCCAGUGGCUUGUUCCAAGAUUGAUGGCAAGUAAUAGCAGAAGCCUGUGUCAUUUUGCUACUUUCCAGACUCCAACUUUUCAGAAGGUGAUAUUGCCUUUCAGCUGAAUUGCUUUGGACUCUCCUGACCUUUGCUCUGUUGAGAACUGAAUUAGCCAUCUUGCUGUAGCUAAACCUUCACUGCUGCUACAGAAAUGUGUAGUAAUAAAAUAAAUUGGCUCACAGUGACAAAAUUGAGUGACAUUUUACUUCACAGAACUGUAUGAUAGCCUCGCACUUUACAGCAUCUUCUAAGCAAAAAAAAAAAAAAAAGUUUUCACUUAGAUUUUUUUUUCUUCUUUAAUUAUUUUUCUCUUUACCUCCUUAUAACUUGUCCCUCCCAUUUUUUAUUAACAUCUGUGGUCUGAUAUUGUCUCACAUUAUGUUUUCAAAGCAUAUAAACACAUGAAAAGUAUUACUGAGCUAUAAGAAAUCAGGCAAGACAGGAAUCAAAAUAAUAAGGAACAGUAUAAAGUAUUCUAAAUAUAUUUCUCAGUGUUGCCCCUUUGUGAGGGAGGGAGGAAUGUCAUUGCUUGGAGCAAAUCUACGGGGCAAUGUGUGCUAAAAAAGCACCACAGUGCCUCUAUUUCCUUCAUAUCUGUGAAAAUCUGAAAGACCAAAAGAGCUAGCAAGUUACGAAGGUAAAAAGGAAGAGGUUACUGCAAAUAUCAGUGAGGGAGCUCACUGCUUACAUGAGACAAAAGAGAACCAGCUGGGAAGCUGAAUUUUGGGGGAUGCAAGCAGUAAAUGUAAUUGAUGUGGUACUGCAAAGGGCUGAGUGCCUUUCUGAACAAUGGCUUGUGUCUUGGUUCUGUCAGGAGGGCUGCUGGUCUCUGACCAGACUCAAUCCAGAGAAAUUGGCAUUGUUUUUAGUGUAGCAAGAUACAGCAAAUAGAGUGAAAGCUAGUGGUGUCUGUACAGGUUAUCCAGUCAUUGCUGCAAGAAUAAAUCACUGUCACACCCUCUGUGCAGGGUAAUCUUUAUCUCAAAUGUGCUUCUGUUAAACAGAAUUACAAGAUAAAACAAAACAAACCCCACCAUUCUCCUCUCUCUGCCUAUUGAUUCUGUUAUGUGCUCAAACAAGUAGCACAGUGCCUAGCAAGCUGGAGUGGUGCCGCCUUGCAAUUUGGGAUGUUUAUCCAGGAUUGCAGAAAGCAUGCAACAAUUUUGACUGCAAAGGUUUAUUGCAUUUUCUGGGAAUACUGGUUCUGUUCUAGAAUGCAGUCUUUCCAAGCAGGCCAAGAAGCAUCAUUUUUUAAUGGGACAAGUCUUUAGCAGACACCUCUAUGAUUAGAAUUUUCCCUGUGCAAUUUUUGGAGAAAGUGUGUUUGUGUGCUACUUUGGGGGAAAAAAUAAAUGCAUACUUUGGAAAAUCUACAGAGUAAAAAAAUACUUGUGAUAUUAAUCUGUUGUGCUAUUUUUAUAUGUUGUGGUAGUUUCUUCUUAUGAAAUAUUUGCAUGCAAAAUAAAAUAUGAGUUAAAAAUCCAAAGUGCAAUUGAGAUUCACAAAUGAAUAACAUCCUGCAAACUUUUCUGCUCAUUGAGUCACUUUAAUGUAUUUAUUUUUUAAUGUUAGUGAACUUCUCUUUGAUAUUGGUAAGAAAACCCACAAAACUUCACUAACAUUCAGAUCUUCUGAAUAACUUUCCCACAUAAGAGGGGAAUUUUUCUUGUGGUUUUUCAAUAGAUACUCAGUCUGUUUUGGCUAAGCACCUUCAUAAGUUUUUUCUUCUAAGUCUAAGGCUUUUUCAAGAGCUUGCAGGUGGAUUAGAAAACAGUGCUCUGCUUUCAACUUUCUGUUUCUGGUCUACGAUAAAAGAGAAUCAUAUUUUCUAUUAUUUUCUAACUAGCUUUUUUAUAACUGAGAAGAGGCUUGUGUGAGAAAUGAAGAACAUCAAAGGCUAGUGGAAGUUAACUCAGGUGUAUCACUAGCAAAUUGUCUUAAAUAUGGAAGUUGUAGGCUAUACGACCAGUUCAAAAUACUGUUGCUUCACUUUCCCUUUAUUUCCUUAAAACAAGUAAAAUGACUGUUUUGGAAAAGUGUCGUCAUGAUGUUAAAUUGACCUUAAAAUUGCAACCCAAGGAAGUUUGUUUGGGCAUAAGGGUCAAGUGAGCUGCAGUUUCUGGGAUUUAUUUACCUAAUUGUCCAUCAAAACAAGUUACAUGUUUUGGUAAGUAAGCUGGAGCAAGUAUACAAAACUUUCUAACACUCCACAGAAACAACUGUACUGCCAUAUUGAUUUGUUUACUGUAUUGUUCAGUGUCUGCUUAUGUGUGUUUACAUUUUUUUGUGCACCCUGGAGAUUCAUCUGACUUUCAUUAAUGCUUAAGAUAGACUUAUUUGCUAACAAAAAUUAUUCAUGAAUGAAAAUUAUUGUUUCUUUUCAAAAUGGCCCAAACUUUGAGUGAGAUCUGCAUUCUCAAUCCUAAACAGUGAAUUGAUGUGUGUUGGCAGGAGCCAAGUUGUUCCUUAUAUAUGAAAUUUCUUGUAAAUAGUGUUUGCAGAUUUCUCAGGAUUUCUGUGUGUCCACUCUCUAGUGUGGUAUGGGUUAUGUGGCUUUGUACAUUCCCCGUUUCUGUGAAAUGAUUGGCUUUGUGCAAUUUGGUGAGGAAGCAGAUCUUUAUUUAUUUAUUUAUUUAUUUAUUUAUUUAUUUAUUAAGAGAUGAAGAGGUUUCACUCAUAAAAAGAUGGUCUCUGCAGGAAGAGUCCUCCUCUGGUACUUCACUGCCUCUGAAGAUGCUGAGCCAAGGAGCCUGAGAGUAGUGCAUUGCAUGCACUAUGCCUCAAGACUCCCUGAGUUCCAAAGAUCUUCUGGGAACCUCAUUCCAGAAGUAAAGCAGAGUGAUCUGUCCAGGGAACUGGCUCCAGUCUUUCAGGUAUGAUGUCAUAAUGAGUUUCUGGGACAGUCCUGGCUUUCCCAGCACCUCUGUCCUGGAUUAGUGCUGGGAGUCAGAGCCAGGUAUACAUUGUAUACACUGAACCCACAUGGGCUCCACCAGUGCAAAGGAGCUGGGGAAGGGAGGUCAGGGAAUUCAUAUACUUGUAUCUGUGCAAGUAUCCUGUCCUGCUUGGCUGGUAUUCCUAUCCUGCUUCCUAUUCUAACCUCCUCUGCAGUUCUGUUCAGUAUCUACUCCUUCCUUAGAAAGUGCCAUCCAAAGCUAGCCAAGUGGAUCAGGUCUGUGGACAUUUGCACAACACUGGUGUGUCCUGUACUCUCCUGCACAAAUUCUGGCUGUUGCAAGAUGAAGUUGCUUUUGUCCUGUUCCAGAUGCCCUCGCACCACAGCUGAUAGCAGGAUUGCAUCAUUUUUCCUUGGGCCCCUUGCAGCCCCAGGUGCUGGCACCUCACUCUGGAAUGGUUAGUUGUACCCAGUGAUGGCAGAUGCCCAUCAGCAGCUUGCUGCUGGUCACACUGACAUGCCACUGAGCAAAUAUAAGAGAUACCCAUAAUGCAAAGCAGCUGCACCAAGAAGUUGCUCUUUAAAUAAUUAGAAGAGUGUCAAAGAGAUGAAGCACUUGUCCUUUACACAAAUAAGUUGAGAAAAUACAUUUUUUGGCAGUGCUCUCACUGCUGCCCUGUGCUUCAUAACCUGUUGAGCCUUGCAAUGCCAGCUGGCAUUUUGCCAUUCAUUUAUUUAACUUUCCCCUCUUAAAUCAGUGUUCAAUUACAAUAACGUAGGAUUUCUUGGUAUCAUAGCUAAUUGCAAGAAAUAAGUACUUUGCUAUGGAAAAUAAAAGGAAGCCUGGUCUUUUGGGAGCUCCCUUAGGGGAGGGGAGUUCUGUGUAUUUGCAAGAUGUACUUCCUAGGAGGAAUUUCCCUUCUUUGUUGUAAGUGGGAUGGUGAACUUUUAGUGAUCUAUAUUACUGAAACCUCAAAGCUGUUUAUUAGAAAAAAAAAUCCACUGAUCAGCAUCUUCAAAGACAAGAAAUUCAAAGAUUAUGGAUGCCUCUGUUCUUGAACAAAUGUUGGAAGUACUGUGUAAUCUUAACUAUCAUAAUACUUUAUUCUAUAACGUAACUCACUAUCCUUAAUCACGGGGAGCAAAAUAUUACUCUUUUAAAGAGCAUUUAUGUUGUGGGAUCUUUGGUUUAUCUGCUUUGAAGAACAUCUGUAGCAGAAGAACGAGGACUGUGUCUGCUCUAUAGUCUCAGAGGAAGGCAGUAAAAGACCAGUGGUGUGGCCUGAGAUGAUGCUCUCUCCCUAUCUGGAGAAUCAGGAGCUUCUGUAGCUUGCACAAGAUUUUGUGGAGAUUAUAUGAUACAGUUAUAUUUUGGUAUAUGUGCAUUUGUUGAGAUCGUCAAAGCUGAAACUAUGAAGAGAAGCACACAUCACUAUAUGGCUGACCUCAUGUGUACAAGAUGACUUCAGCAAGUUAAAGUGAUCAGACUUCUUUUCAAAGACUACUAGAUUUCCCAGGAAGAAAUGAUAAUUUGAUUAUACUCAAAGGGAGGGGAACAAGCAACCCUCAGGCUGCUGAAGUACAGCUUUCUUUAGGUACCUUCCAUCAUGCUGAGUCAAGUACAUGCACCCCAGCCCUCUGGAGAUCCUGCACCAAAUCACUUUUGCCUAGACGACUCUCUGCUCUGCAGCAGGUGGGAUAACAAGCAUGGAGGACUUACAAAGAUGUGGGGUUGAGACCCACAGCUGCAGGUAGAGCUGUACCUAGAUGACAAGCAACAUCACUUCCUUCUUUCUGUUGUACUAAUGUAUGGAGCAGAUGCAGUGUUCUUGUUCUGAUCUGUGAUGAAGUAACAUCCCAGCCCUGAUUCACUGCCAUUUGUAGUAAGAUAAAAGGUGGGGCUGUUACACUGCAUACAGUACAACUGGAUCUCACAAUCAGAUUAACAGCAGCAGAUACAUGUGUUUGGCCAUAAACUUCUAUUACAGUCCUUCCUCUCUCUUUCCCCUAGACUGGCUGUGUAUUUUUUUGCCUCCUGAAGUCUGUGUUGAAUUAAAAAAAAAUGCAGAAUGGCCUGGAGGUGGCAGCAGCCAGUGAGUUGAACAAUGAGCUCUGUUUUGGUCACAAUCAAGUAACUGUUGGGGGCAGGGCAAUGCAGAGCAUGUAACAAAAAUGAGUUGCAUGUUUGCUGGAAAUUUUUGCUUGCAAAUAAUGUUAGGUAUUUUUGAGGAGCUUGCAAGAACACUGUUAAUCUUACAUAACUCUGGGGGGCUGCAUGAGGGCUAUCUCACUCUAUACUCUGCUGAAAAUCCUAGGAAAGUUUAAUGGACAGUAGUGUUUCUGUUGUUUACUGUCAGAAGGGCACUAUGUUGUUUUGAGUUGUUUGAAAGGACUUAUAACAGGAAUUGCUGUUUCUGUUUGUCUGGAAAAGUUGUCACAUUCUUUUAGCUAGCCAAAGAAUCAAUCCUAAAAAUGAACUUGAAUAAUUCAGGACUUCCCCCCCCCCCCCCUCCCCCCCCCCCCUCUGCUGGCUGCAUUUUGCUUGCCUAAAGGAAAUUUUCCCCUCUGUUUUAGACGUCAUGAAACAUACGUAUGCACUGAAUAGAUCUCAUUUACAGGACCAGCAAAACAAACUGUAUUUGAAGAAAUUUGAUUCACUGUGGAGUCAAAAGUUCUGUAGAGUCAGGAAAGAGCCACUGCUGGAGCUUCACCAUGGCAAAUGUGUCAUAACUUAUAGAAUGGCAGAGAUUUUGCUUUCAUUGUUGUAAACAUAACUGGCUGUGAAAAUGAAAAUAUUGGCUCAAUAUGAAAAUAAAGACAGUUUUUUCACUUUUCCAUAGUUGUUAUUCUUCUGGAAACAAAUGAUGGCAGUUCUUCAGACAAGGAGAUGUGAGCAUCUGAAUCAUGCAUGCAUUUCUCUUUCUGAACUACAAAAUUUAGUAACACACACAUUCCAGUUACUGCUGGGAGGAAAUGCUGAAGUUUCUGGAUAAUCAUUCAUAUG